AAGCGAGCAUCUGCAUCGUGUGGCCGCAGUUCGUCGAGACACCACAACCCAAUCCGUUUGGAUAGAUAGCUGGUCGCCCGCCCGCCUCCCUUCUUCCCACCACACCUCCAGUCCUCCACUGACAAGCCGCCGCCGCUCUUCCACCUACCUCUCCCCGGCCUCGCACCCAUGGCCACGGCUUUGAUGGUUGCAGCCACCACCUCCUGCUCCCCGGGCCGCGCCGCGCCGCGCCUGAAGCCGGUGGCCUCCUCCUCCUCCAGCAGCAGCAGCAGCUCGGCGCGGCCGCGGCGGCCCUUGGCGCAGCAGCUCCCGCGGCUGCUGGCAACGGCGGCGGCGGCGGCGGCGGUGGCAGCUGCGCCGCUCCCGGCGCUGGCGGAGCAGAUGGAGAAGGCCGCACUGUUUGACUUCAACCUGACGCUCCCGGCGAUCGCGACCGAGUUCCUGCUGCUCAUGGUGGCGCUGGACAAGCUCUACUUCACGCCGCUAGGCAAGUUCAUGGAUGAGCGGGACGCCAAGAUCCGCGGUGAGCUCGGCGAUGUCAAGGGCGCCUCCGAGGAGGUGAAGCAGCUGGAGGACCAGGCGGCGGCCAUCAUGAAGGCGGCGCGCGCCGAGAUCGCGGCGGCGCUUAACAAGAUGAAGAAGGAGACCACCGCGGAGCUGGAGGCCAAGCUGGACGAGGGGCGCAGCCGUGUGGAGGCCGAGCUCGUAGAGGCGCUCGCCAACCUCGAGGCGCAGAAGGAGGAGGCUGUUAAGGCGCUCGACGCCCAGAUCGCCUCGCUCAGUGAUGAGAUCGUCAAGAAGGUGCUCCCAUCCGCGUGAUGAAACCAAACCGGCCCUGCCUUAUCCUACGACUAUAGUUACAUGAACAUCAUAAAUUAAUGAUAAUUUUGAAGAAAUUGGCCGAUGACUCCGACACUGUACUCAUGAAAGAUUAUUGGAUGGGUUGUGUCCACCGCCUGUGUUGGGUGUGGAUUGUUGUAGACUCGCAGUGAUCUUUCUCGAUAAGCUUGUACAGUUCAGUACAUACAGACACACAUUGAAACCAUAUAGAUACAGGAUACAUUUUGCCCUAGUG
This 1075-nucleotide long non-coding RNA is filed under the name Zea mays. Its description in RNAcentral is "long non-coding RNA (ZMAY_LNC005642)". The record is from RNAcentral. Lineage: Eukaryota; Viridiplantae; Streptophyta; Magnoliopsida; Poales; Poaceae.